This 322-nucleotide ribosomal RNA is filed under the name uncultured eukaryote. RNAcentral's name for it is "partial 18S ribosomal RNA". It matches the Rfam family "Eukaryotic small subunit ribosomal RNA", at positions 1470 to 1796 of the family's 1831-position model. The record is from RNAcentral.
CCCUUAGAUGUUCUGGGCCGCACGCGUGCUACACUGAGUAAUUCAAUGGGUAAGGGAACGCUAGAGCAUUACCUAAUCUUGAAAUUUGCUCGUGAUGGGGAUCGACGGUUGCAAUUUUCCGUCGUGAACGAGGAAUACCUUGUAGGCGCAUGUCAUCAUCAUGCGCCGAAUACGUCCCUGCCCUUUGUACACACCGCCCGUCGCUCCUACCGAUUGAGUGAUCCGGUGAGGCUCUGGGACCUGGACGGAAAGAGCGUUUCGCUUGUUCUGUUUGGGAAACUUGGUCGUACCUUAUCAUUUAGAGGAAGGAGAAGUCGUAACA